CUGAUAUAUGGAAAGCAUUCUUUUUGUGUCUAAUUCUUGUAUUUUUGUUAAGUUUAUUAUAAUAAAGUGGAGUGUAAUAAUACAUAUUGAUAGUGAGCAAUUCAUUUUGAGCAUUUCAGACUUCAAAGCACACCAUUUACAAGAUUUAGUUCAAAUCUUUUGUAACUUGUAUAGAAAAUGAAUACUUUAUAAAUGUAUUCAUUAUUUGUCUUGAAAAAUAAUUUAAUCAGCAUAUUAUGUCACGAUGACAUCAUUAUAGUAACAACAUGACAUCAUCCAUUGUUGUCAUACUGGUGAUGCUAUGACAUCAUUCCUAAUUUGAACAUCACUGAAGGAUUUAAUGAAAGCUUUUUUAUUGCUACCCAAAAUACCUCACCUUCUGUGGUGAUCUUGUCCAGGAUAAUCUAUGUUAUCUGCACAGUCAUAGAUCUUUAUGCCAAGUUUGGUCAUGAGGGGUCAAACAAUGCAAAAGACUUUGGGAAACAUAGUAUCAUAUGCCUCCGAGGUACAGGCAUUUGAUUGACAUCAGUGUAAUGAAAAAUUACUGUGACAUCAUCUAUUGUUAUAUUAUGAUGACACAUUAUAAAUACACCUAUAAUGGCAUCCUGAAUUUGAAGAAAAUUUUGAAAGAUUUAAAUAUGAUAAUUUUUUUAUCAAAAAUUUUCUGCCAUAGGGGUAUUUUGCAAAUUUCAGAAGGACCUUUAGAAAAUUAUUUCUGCAAAUAAUUUUCUAAAGGGUCUGAGGCCAGUCUCUACCUCCAUGCAAAAUUUCAAUUCUAUAAAAUAUUCACAAGUGCUCAAACAGUUUGUGCAGAUGCACAAAUAUAUGGAUCAUUUAUUAUGAAAGUGAUG
This 851-nucleotide long non-coding RNA is filed under the name Androctonus crassicauda. The record is from RNAcentral. Lineage: Eukaryota; Metazoa; Arthropoda; Arachnida; Scorpiones; Buthidae.